Molecule: non-coding RNA, 98 nt
Organism: Podospora fimiseda
Lineage: Eukaryota; Fungi; Ascomycota; Sordariomycetes; Sordariales; Podosporaceae
Source: the annotation of a GenBank genome assembly
GUCCUCGUAGUGCAGUGGUUAACACGCCUGGUGUUUAUUUUCAUAUCUCGGUGAUAGCAAAAGCAGGGAAACGCCAUGUUCGAUUCUGGCCGUGGACA